UUAGAGGCAAACGGGUGGAACCGCAGUGUCGACUCUUGGAAUUCAACCUGCCGUAGCACGGGACGAUGCUGGGAUAAUUGCGGAGCUUCCAAAGCCCGUUUCUCGGCGUCGGUCUCCGGUCGGUCUGGUGCACUUUCUUCGAGUCGAGAGCCACGACCGGCUCUUUGGCGGCCAGAAGCCUGGCUGGGAAGGUGACCUCCGGCCUCGGCUGGCGGAGUUUAUAGCCCAGCUUGCGUUGGCUCGUCGGAGGGCCGAGGAAAAGCUUUGCCGCGACUCGUCGCUCUCGGACCAUCUGCGCUCGUCACGACUGGGGUGGACUGCUUGCCAGUGCUCUCCCGACCGCGAGCGUGGAAGGGUUCGUUCGGCGUGAGUUGCUUCGGGCCUGUGGCGAAUCGGUCGGUCACCCACCCGACCCGUCUUGAA
RNAcentral lists this ribosomal RNA (423 nucleotides) under Pinctada margaritifera. Its description in RNAcentral is "partial 28S large subunit ribosomal RNA". The record is from RNAcentral. Lineage: Eukaryota; Metazoa; Mollusca; Bivalvia; Pterioida; Pteriidae.